Small nuclear RNA from Callithrix jacchus (white-tufted-ear marmoset), 107 nucleotides. The record is from Ensembl. NCBI's taxonomy places the organism in Eukaryota, Metazoa, Chordata, Mammalia, Primates, Cebidae.
GUGCUCGCUUCGGCAGCACCUAUACAAAAAUUGGGACAAUACAGAGAAGGCCGGCAUGGCCACUGCCCAAGAAUGACACACAAAGGUGUGCAGCAUUCCAUAUUUUU